CAGUUUCCAAUGCAAUUGAACGACUCGUUUGUCUAACAUUAUCAAAAUUUAAAUCUGUUUUAGAUAUUUUCUUUAAACAAUUAACUAAACUGGAAUCUGCAUGAUUUCUUUGCUCGUAUCCAAGGAGCAACUUAGACGGAGAUGCUUUCAAAGAGGAAUGGAAUGUAUUAUUAAUAACAUACUGAACUGUUCCAAGACAAUCAUGCCAACCUUGAGAUUCAUCGAUUAACUUUUGUAAGGAUGAUUUUAAAAAUCUAUUCACCCUUUCAACCAUUCCAUUUGCCCACGGAGCAGCUACAGCAACUAACCUAUGGAUACAACCAGGUAAAUCUUGUAAAUGCCUCUACCACGACAAAAAUAUGUUUAAAUCCAUGUUCGGAUUCAACAAUAGGACCAAAAUGAUCCAUAUGAAUAAUUUGAAAGGGGAAUGCAGGAUUUUCCGUUAUUUGCAUUUCACCUUCACAUGAGUUUGAUGCUGAAUUAGCCAAUAAACAUAUUAUACAAUUGUCAAUAUGAGAUCGUACACGCUUACGUAACGAAGGAAACCAAUAGUUACAUGAAAUUCCUUGUAAGGUUUUCUCCAUACCACAAUGCGCCAUUUCAUCGUGAUAAAUACGUAUCACAUUUGAAACCAUUGAUUCUGGAACAUAAAACCGAGGGUCUUUCAGUUGGCGAAAUUCUAAUUCCAUCUCAAGAGGCAAUGCGUCAAUCAGUGCAACAACACGACUUAACGCAUCAACAUGAGACAUUUUAAUUCCCGGUCGAUGUAUCACUGAAAAUGUGUAAGAUUGCAAUCUUAGAGUCCAACGUGAUAUUCGCGGAUUUAAAUGUGCUUUAGUGACUGCAUAUACUAAUGCGUGACAGUCGUUCGAAACUGUGAUAACGAGAUUCAGCAUCAUUAGUCGACUGACUAUAAUAUGCAAUUGGAGCCCAUUUGUUCGCAUCCUGUUUUUGUAAUAAAAUAGCAGCUAAAGCUAUUGAACUUGCAUCAGUGUGAAGUUGCGUUUCUGCGUUUGGAUCAUAAAUACGAAGAACAGGAUAUGAGGAUAUGGAACGUUUUUAAUGGCAUUUGUAUGUCGUGAGCUCAAUGUUAUACCAGAAGCCGAAACAAUAUAUCCUAAAUAUUCUAUGGUCUUUCGUAAAAACAAACU
Long non-coding RNA from Formica exsecta, 1151 nucleotides. RefSeq lists it as uncharacterized. The record is from RefSeq and is a predicted model, not a curated record. The transcript is spliced from 5 exons. NCBI's taxonomy places the organism in Eukaryota, Metazoa, Arthropoda, Insecta, Hymenoptera, Formicidae.